Molecule: ribosomal RNA, 521 nt
Filed under: uncultured bacterium
Lineage: Bacteria
Description: bacterial SSU rRNA
Rfam family: Bacterial small subunit ribosomal RNA
Source: RNAcentral
AGGGUUCGAUUCUGGCUCAGGAUGAACGCUAGCUACAGGCUUAACACAUGCAAGUCGCGGGGCAGCAUGACGAUUGCUUGCAAUUGUUGAUGGCGACCGGCGCACGGGUGAGUAACGCGUAUCCAACCUUCCCCAUAGUAGGGUAUAGCCCGGCGAAAGUCGGAUUAAUCCCCUAUGUUGUUUGAAGCGGACAUCUAAUUCAAACCAAAGAUUCAUCGCUAUGGGAUGGGGAUGCGUCUGAUUAGGUUGCAGGCGGGGUAACGGCCCACCUGGCCGACGAUCAGUAGGGGUUCUGAGAGGAAGGUCCCCCACACUGGUACUGAGACACGGACCAGACUCCUACGGGAGGCAGCAGUGAGGAAUAUUGGUCAAUGGGCGCGAGCCUGAACCAGCCAAGUAGCGUGCAGGAUGACGGCCCUACGGGUUGUAAACUGCUUUUAUGCGGGGAUAAAGUGCGGCACGUGUGCCGUUUUGCAGGUACCGCAUGAAUAAGGACCGGCUAAUUCCGUGCCAGCCGCGGC